AGGGGUAUAGUUUAAAGGUAGAACGAAGGUCUCCAAAACCUUUGGUGUGGGUUCAAUUCCUACUACCCCUGCCA
This 74-nucleotide transfer RNA is filed under the name Yersinia enterocolitica. Its description in RNAcentral is "tRNA-Trp". It matches the Rfam family "tRNA". Rfam says of the family: Transfer RNA (tRNA) molecules are approximately 80 nucleotides in length. Their secondary structure includes four short double-helical elements and three loops (D, anti-codon, and T loops). RNAcentral also lists the same sequence under 90 other names. Lineage: Bacteria; Pseudomonadati; Pseudomonadota; Gammaproteobacteria; Enterobacterales; Yersiniaceae. The record is from RNAcentral.